Long non-coding RNA from Spinacia oleracea (spinach), 3438 nucleotides. RefSeq lists it as uncharacterized. The transcript has 7 exons. The record is from RefSeq and is a predicted model, not a curated record. NCBI's taxonomy places the organism in Eukaryota, Viridiplantae, Streptophyta, Magnoliopsida, Caryophyllales, Amaranthaceae.
UCCCACAUCAGGGCAACUUGGUGUUGUGAGUGUUACGGUGUACCGAACAUGAGGGUGAGGAGGGAGGCGAAGAGGAGAGCUAAAGGGGUGGAGGUUGGUGGGUACACUUAAGCUCAAUAUGAAUGCCGAGGUAAAUGCAAGUUGAAGAAGUGUGAAUGUCCUACGAUGUUUUAUGCUAGUUUGAACGCGGAAGGUGGGUGGAGCAUAAUCAGAAUACGAGUUUAAUGAAGUCAAAGCUAGUGGAAGAGGAUAAGUUGGGAGGGUUUGCAAAAAUUUGGAAAAGGAAGCUAUCUACGGAGUAAUGGUUUAAGUUAUAGGAGUUUGAGAAUGAGGAGGGAUGGUGUUGUAAAUAUGUCAAUGAAGGAUAAGAAUCUACCUCAUGUAGUAGAGCAUGAGAGAAGGCUGAUAAUGAUGGAUUGUUUUUUGAAAGAAUGCAAUGAGACAACCAAACUUUUUUCCUUGCUCAUAGAAUGAAUUUGGAGUGUUGCAGGAUGUUUUGUGGGUUGAUGAGGAGUAAAGCAGCAUAUGAAGAGCUUGGGAUGUUGUUUCCUUUGGUACAACUUACUUAGUUUAGAGUAUGAGUUGCCCACUUGCCGCUUGCAAAUUUUGUUGGUGUUAGCCAUCAUGGACAGUUAGUCUUGUUGGGAUGUGCUUUAGUUUCACAUGAUGAUGCAGGAUGUAUACUUGGGUUUUCCAGCAAUGGUUGGUUUGCAUGGAGGAAAAUCCUCUAAUACUAUUUUGACUGAUGAUUCGGCAGCAAGGAGGAAGGUGAUAAAGAUAUUUCCAAACUUUCUCCAAGGCAAUGGUGAUGAAAGAGUUGUAGAUAUUCAAAUCUCAGUAAAUGAAUGGCUAGGCAAGAGGAGUGUGAGUAGUAUGGGUGACAAUGAUCGAUGUAGAUGAGGUGCAGUCUGUUAUCAAUAGUUUUUAUGGAAAAUAAUGUGCAAUCGCAGAUGGCACCAUCAAGCCCAAUGCAAAGAGCAAGGCUUCCAGCAGUCCGUAGAGAUAGUUUGACACAUAACAUGUUGGAUAAAUUACAUCCAUGCUCGCUGGAAGCUGUGGAGGGUGUACUGUAGGCUGUAGCCAUGGAUAAUGUGCGCCAACAAUUAGAGAAAGUGGAACUCUGGAAAUCAUCUGUCAUACUACCUGAAGAUGGUGCAAACUGCUAAGGGUGACGAAAGUUCUGAACUGUAUUACCCUUCUGAAGAUUGUGCAAGCUGCUAAGGGUGACAAAAGUUCUCCCCUCUGGACUUUGGAAAUUCUGAACUGUCCUAAGGGUGACGAAAAUACAUUGCUGCAUGUCAUGAGUUUAUUUUACUAGUACUGUAGUACAAUUUUUGUCUGAGGCCGUAUUUAGUGCUGAGCUGAAUGAUAAAAAAGUUCCGCCACUUCUGGAGGCCUUCUGAUGUCACCUUUAACACAUACUAGGGUGACACUGUGCUGGAUCAGAAAUGAAACUGUGCAAAGAUGUUCAGCUUCUGUUUGGCUCAUUGGUGUCAAAUGUCAGGAGUGAUGAACAAGAACCAGUGCUUUCUCCACAGGAAGAUGACUUCCUCUAUUGGGACCUGUUUUGUCUCGGGGAGGAAGAAGAACACAAAGCUUGUCAUAAUCAAGAUCAGCCCAGCGAACAGAAGGAAGAUUCCGUACUUGAGGUGACAAAGAGCCACAAGGAAGCAUUGCGCAAUCAGGGCAGUGAAAAUCAUGUUGACACCGACAACAAUACUCUGGCCAGCUGACCUUGUUUCCAACGGGAAGAGCUCGCUAGGUACUAGCCAACCUAGUGGACCCCACGACCUUCCAUAUGCCAACACAAAUAAGCAAAUCAAGAUAACAAGGAGGUAGCCGAUUCCAUUUGGCAGUGUCUUCCCAUCCCCAAAGUAGAGGCCAAGAAUGAUGCCAACGGUCACCUGAAAUGAAAAUAAACUUCAAGGUAGAAGGCUCUUCUUCCGAAUUUAUCUACCAAAGCCAUUGAAAUCAAUGCGGCAACCACAAGUGCUCCAUUGGUAAUCGUUGAUGAAUACAGAGAAGCAUUUGUGUUGAAUCCCAAACUCUGGAAGAAAACAGGAGCAUAAAAGAGAAUGGAGUUCAUGCCAGUAAGUUGUUGGAAUGCUGGGAGUGCUAUAGCUCCUAUGAUCAGCUGUGGACGGUUCUUCCUCUGGAGAAGGUUCCGGAAAGGAUGCUUGAUAGCCCUUGCUGCCUCACUUGCAUCGACAAGAUCAGCAAACUCUGCACCAACAUUCGUGGUACCUCUGACCUUUUCCAACACUCUCCUUCCUUCUUCUAGCUUCCCUUGUUCCACCAGACUGUUUGGGGUUUCUGGAAGGAAGAGCCCCCCAACAAACAUCACAGUUGCAGGUGCCAUUUCCGAAAGAUAUAGAGGAACUGCCUGAAAGAUUAAACAGAAAGCAGCAAAAAGAAGAUUAUUGGAGAGCACUAAAAGCCUACAAAUUUAGUAGAAUGUGCGCACACAACACGGUAUCACCCAGUUUGGAUCUUGCCAUUGCCAUUGCCGUUCAAUUAUUAGUGUUAGACUGGUAUUGAUUCCCAAUAGCCUGCAUAGUUCUUAUAUGAAAGUAAGGACUGAAAACAAAAUAGUGGAAGUUGGGACUUACUUGGUUUCCAAAUCCAAUGCCGAAACCAAGAAAGAUUCUCCCAACAAUGAGCAUGGCAACAUUUUGGGCGAAGGCAUUGAUGACUCCUCCAACAAAGAAACUGGCACCUCCUACUAGAAUACUAGCUCUUCUUCCCUUGUUUCGAGUCACAACUGAAGCCCCAAAUGUUGACACCAGAGCCGCAUAGUACAGGGAAGAUGUGAAGAGAGUCAGAAUUUGAUCAUCGUACUUGCAGUAAUCUGUCUCAAGCAAGUGUGCAUGCUUCCUUCUGUAAACCUUUGGGAAGAAUUUCAACAAAAAGUCGUCCAUUGAAGUCACCCCACCUAUAACAAUGUUUUGAUAACCGGCCGAGCAAUGAUAAAUCUAUCUCUGACAUCGGACUAAUGAUCCAAUCUCGGGGUUUGGAAGUUCACUGAAAGAGAAGGGACAUUUUUGUCCUCAUUUUGUCUGAGAUUUGUCUCUUUUUGCUCUGUUUUUUCAGGAACCAGCCAAAAAAAGUUGUAAAGUAUGAACCACCAAUGAAGAGAGGAAGAAAAAACGGGGAAAUGGGGAGAACAGAACCGGAGAAGAAGAAGAAGAAGAAGAAGAAGAAGAAGAAAACUGACCAGAAACACCAAGAUCAUAACCAAAGAGAGCCCCUCCACUCGCCGCAACGAUGCAAGCGAAAAUAAAAUAAGGUGUGAUCUUAUACUCAUACUGAGCUGCCCUCCCUGCUGCUGCUCCAUUAACAAAUGCACCCCCUGCCAUUUUCUCUGAUCACCUUCUUCUUCCACAAAAUCAACCCGAAAACACUCGAAUAAAAUUAAAUAAAUAAAUUUGUUUGUAUGUA